AGUUUGGCCAUGCCUGUGGCUUCUGGGAUCCCAGUUCUCCAACCAAGGAUGGAACCUGGACCCCCAUACUGAAAGUGCUGAGGCCUAACCACUGAACCACCAGGGAAUUCUCUCAUGCAGGCGGAUUCUUGACAAUCUGAGCCACCAGCGAAACCCACAGCUGAGGAGGAGGGGCAGGGAAACGAGGUCCUUGGCGGAGGGAGCUUUUGGUAGGAAGCCCGGGAUCGGUUUGGUUCCUAGAAGCACGGAAGGACGCGGGCGCUGGAGUUGGAGUGAACCCCUCCGGCGGCCCGGCCAGCCCUCCGCAUCCACACGCCCCCUCCCUUCCCCGCUGUGGGCCAUCCGCCUUCCGCCUGGCAGGGAAGCUCCAGACACCCGACCCUACGAAGCCCCUCACGGCAGUCCGGGCGUUUCUAGUGAGUCAGUCUUGCGAUCUUGUCUUUAGGAAAACUCUCCGCCAACAGCUGGUCGCAAGGGUCCCUCUCGCCGCCCACCCAGUCUCUCCUCUCCCCCAGCACCAAGGACGAGCUCCCCUGCCGCAGCCCCGAGGCCGUCCCCAGGGCGCUGCGGUCCCGCCGGAGCCACGCCUUCCUGGCGACAGAGGGCGGGGCAUGCAGAUUCGAGACGGAGCUUCUGUCCGAGAACGACAAAGCUACAGCAGAUACGGAAUUUCUCUUUUACAAUGUGGAGGAUGAAGCCUGCUCAGAGUGUGGUGGGGUGCCGCCAUAGCACUGUCAACGAGGCAAAGGCAGGGCGCCCUGGAGUGAGCGGGGACCCGGGUCACACUGAGUGCAACAUGCUCGACAGCAGGACGGUGACAGCGACGGGCGGUGACUCGGUAUCGCUUCUCGGCCUUUUGGCUAAGAUCAAGUGUAGUAUCUGUUCUUAUCAGUUUAAUAUCUGAUACGUCCUCUAUCCGAGGACAAUAUAUUAAAUGGAUUUUUGGAGCAGGGAGUUGGAAUAGGAGCUUGCUCCGUCCACUCCACGCAUCGACCUGGUAUUGCAGUACCUCCAGGAACGGUGCA
This is a long non-coding RNA of Cervus elaphus (red deer), 1025 nucleotides long. RefSeq lists it as uncharacterized. Lineage: Eukaryota; Metazoa; Chordata; Mammalia; Artiodactyla; Cervidae. The record is from RefSeq and is a predicted model, not a curated record. The transcript has 2 exons.